RNAcentral lists this ribosomal RNA (446 nucleotides) under uncultured bacterium. Its description in RNAcentral is "bacterial SSU rRNA". It matches the Rfam family "Bacterial small subunit ribosomal RNA", at positions 329 to 792 of the family's 1533-position model. The record is from RNAcentral.
AUCCAGACUCCUACGGGAGGCAGCAGUGGGGAAUAUUGCACAAUGGGGGAAACCCUGAUGCAGCGACGCCGCGUGAAGGACGAAGUAUUUCGGUACGUAAACUUCUAUCAGCAGGGAAGAAAAUGACGGUACCUGACCAAGAAGCCCCGGCUAACUACGUGCCAGCAGCCGCGGUAAUACGUAGGGGGCAAGCGUUAUCCGGAUUUACUGGGUGUAAAGGGAGCGUAGACGGCCGUGCAAGUCUGAUGUGAAAACCCGGGGCUCAACCCCGGGACUGCAUUGGAAACUGCAUGGCUGGAGUGUCGGAGAGGCAAGUGGAAUUCCUAGUGUAGCGGUAAAAUGCGUAGAUAUUAGGAGGAACACCAGUGGCGAAGGCGGCUUACUGGACAGUAACUGACGUUGAGGCUCGAAAGCGUGGGGAGCAAACAGGAUUAGAUACCCCCGUA